AACAACUUGGGUUGGAGCCUUGGAGGGACUCCAAUCCAUCAACUCCUUCAGUCCUUCAGUCCUUCGCCAGUUCGCCCGACGCCGCCACCACCAUCCACGCCGUCCUUGCUGUCCACGUCGGCGCCGCACCGUCCCCUCCCCUCCUCCGCGUCGUCCAUUCCCCGCCAUCCGCACCGGCGCAGCGCCAUCCCCUCUCCUCCGUCCGCGUCGGCACCGCGAGUCCGCGCCAUCCCCUCUCCGGCGUCCCCGCCGUCCGCGGGGCCGGGCCAUGCCGUCGUCCGCCCUGUAGCCACGCUGUGCCGGGUCCUGCACUCCUGCGUCCGUCGUCCACACCGGUGCCGCGCCAAGACGGGGGCCGCCUCGCCGGACUCUAGCCACGGGCCGCCGGCCGCCGGCCGCUCGCCUUCUCCUCCUGCUCACAGCUCUCCUGCUCCACGUCUCCACCGAUCCGGCGCGGGCGGUCCACCCUUCAGCCCAGGAUUAGUAAAACAUGAAGAGGAGUGGAAAUAUCGAGUCGUUAUUUCGGAAACAUGAAGCUAUGAAGAUUGCAGCCUCUUCUUGUUCUUCGAAUGGCUUCAUUGGUACAAAGAAUAUAUAUAUUUUCACUAAAUUUCUAUCACAUUUUCACUAAAUUUGUAUUUGUAUAUUGGCUUUAUGGUACAAAAAAUUUUACCACGUGACAUGAACGUGUGAACUAGGACUACCCGAGGAGAAAUCCCUGGCUACGCCGAUACAGAGAGUGUUAGAUUAAUGGGCUAGGCCCAAUUAAAUCCUAAUAAAUUCCAUUGGCCCACAUUAAGUGCUAUGGGUAAUAAUACUACCUUGGAAAUC
This is a long non-coding RNA of Oryza sativa Japonica Group (Japanese rice), 831 nucleotides long. RefSeq lists it as uncharacterized. The record is from RefSeq and is a predicted model, not a curated record. NCBI's taxonomy places the organism in Eukaryota, Viridiplantae, Streptophyta, Magnoliopsida, Poales, Poaceae.